GCCUCCUACAAAGGCGUGCUAGCGCUUUCUAUGUGCUUGCACGUAAGAACUGGAGGUAGAGGAAAAAAAGAAUGGCAUCCUCAAUUGUGCACAUUUUUUAUUUUA
Molecule: non-coding RNA, 105 nt
Organism: Pelobates cultripes (western spadefoot toad)
Lineage: Eukaryota; Metazoa; Chordata; Amphibia; Anura; Pelobatidae
Source: the annotation of a GenBank genome assembly